CAAUGCCAACGCUCCUUUAAUUGACGUUAGCUGAAUGCAAAUUAAUAAUAAGUGGUAUUUACGAGCGGUGGAAGGAAUCUCCCAUUGUUUCAUUUCUGAAUUUGCGCACGUUAACUGAUAUUAAAACCCUAUUUACAUCCCUUCUGUGCGCGGCCACGGAAGGGCGUGAUCGCUGUAGAUGCCGGUGGCGAGUUCCCGCCGGCACGAGAGCCCGAACAGGAUGUUCCGUCGGAGCGGCGGGUUCCCUCCUCGUUGCUCAUCGUUUCCUUCGCGUUGGCCGGGAAGCAGGUAACACUUUUAUCAACCGACGGUCUGCAUAAUCACUGCGAUAUUCAAAUCCACAUGAGAGCUGCAUGAGGAGAUUAAUAGUAUUGACAAAUCCUAAUUAGCGUCAUGCUGAAUCAAAUGAUUAAUGCGAACAGUUGUUAGGGAGGUAGUGUGUGUCUAAAUAGACCCAGAGGCUAGAUAAUACGCUAAUAGACUAUGACUCACACUAGCACUGUUUUAAUGAGAAAUAGACAGAAACAGGGAGUGACGAAGGGAGAAUGACAGCAGAACAGAGAAGGUAAGAAAAUGGAGGGUGAGAGAAAAAGACGGUGUUUUGCGUUGCUGCUGUUGUCUGCCUGCCUUCCUGCCACCUCGCCUGGCUCCCCGCAAUGUUUUUACACCUCGAGUUUUAAGCAGCGAUGGGAUUAGUUUUGUAGGAUUGUUGGCUUGCAUUGUGCGCUGAGAGGAUAGGCGGCGAAAUCCCUUUUUCAGCCACCGCUACUUAUCCAUGUCCCUGUGUUGUCUCUUUCAAACAGAAGCGCCUCGCUCUACACGCAUGUAAUCUAGGUGACAAGACGGGAUGAAAAGAGAAUUGAAUGCGUAUGAAGGGAGUGAAAAUGGGACGGCUGACAGACGGGAAGGAGGCAGCGAGGUGAGAGGAACGGAGUCGGGAGGAAAAGAGGUGGGGAGUGUGUCUGACUCCGCGGUGCUCAGGUAGCCCACUUUCCUUUGCCUUUAAAAAGCCGGUGCAGGCCCCAUAACACAGGCGCGGUGCAGUUAUGUCUGACAUCGCCGUGUGAAUAAUUCAUCCUCAACUCUGUGCGUGAAUUAUUGAUGACUGAAAGAAUACAGAUGGGGGGAGGUGGGGGCAGGAAAAACAGCAGUCUCGGGGGAUGGAGCAUGAUGCAAGAAGGAGAAAAUAAUUAUGAUUUCAUCAUUAUUUACAAUUUCUUUCCCGAUAUGAAAAAUGUGACAAUUAGAAUUAUUUCUAUUACUGUGCAUUUAAACUUACAGUGUUAUUCCUAUCUCGCAUUUUAACACAUAUAUACAUAUUUAUUGAACGGUUGGUUGGAUGUUUUGUUGGGUGUUUGGUUCGAAGGAUGGAUGGGUGGAUGUUUGUUUGGAUGGAUGAAUGGUUGGAUGGACGGGUGGAUGAAUGGUUGGAUAAAUAGAUGGGUGUUUGGUUGGAUGGGCAGAUGUUUGGUUGGAUAGAUGGAUGGCUGUAUGAUUGGAUAGAUCGAUGUAUGUAUGGUUGGAUGGAUGGAUGAAUGGUUGGAUGGAUCGAUGGAUGGUUGGAUAGAUCGAUGGAUGGUUGGAUGGAUGGAUGAAUGGAGGAUGAAUGCUUGGAUAGAUCGAUGUAUGUAUGGUUGGAUGGAUGGAUGGAUGAAUGGUUGGAUGGAUAGAUGGUUGUAUGAUUGGAUAGAUCAAUGUAUGUAUGGUUGGAUGGAUGGAUGAAUGGUUGGAUAGAUGGAUGGAUGAUUGGUUGAUUGGAUGGACGGAUGGUUGGAUAGAUGGUUGUAUGAUUGGAUAGAUCAAUGUAUGUAUGGUUGGAUGGAUGGAUGAAUGGUUGGAUAGAUGGAUGGAUGAUUGGUUGAUUGGAUGGACGGAUGGUUGGAUAGAUGGUUGUAUGAUUGGAUAGAUCGUUGUAUGUAUGGUUGGAUGGAUGGAUGAAUGGUUGGGUGGAUCGAUGGAUAGCUGGAUAGAUCGAUGGAUGGUUGGAUGGAUGGAUGAAUGGAGGAUGAAUGGUUGGAUAGAUCAAUGUAUGUAUGGUUGGAUGGAUGGAUGGAUGAAUGGUUGGAUGGAUAGAUGGUUGUAUGAUUGGAUAGAUCGAUGUAUGUAUGGUUGGAUGGAUGGAUGGAUGAAUGGUUGGAUAGAUCGAUGGAUGUAUGAUUGGAUAGAUCGAUGGAUGUAUGGUUGGAUGGAUGGAUGGAUGAAUGGAUGGAUGAUUGGUUGGAUGGAUGGUUGGCUAGAAGGGUGGCUGGUUGGGAGUAAUGGAACAAAGCGACCUCCCUCCCCCUCUAUCUCUUGUUAACUUUAUUAUCCCCCUUCUGCAGCACUCAGAAUGAUACUUGCGUGUCUUCCUGUGAGUGUAGCUGUGUGUGCGUGUGUGUGUGUGUGUGUGUGUGUGUGUGUGUGUGUGUGUGUGUGUGUGUGUGUGUGUGUGCGAGAUAGAGAGGGGAAUGUGUGGGCGACCUCACGAUGUCCCUAUAAACUAUUGGUUAUAAUAUUAAUAAUAAUGAGGACAGGGAGCUGCAGAGAGGACAGUUUUGUGGGUCAACUCGGAAGUGAACCAAUCGGAUUCAUCCAUUGGAUUUGGAAUAUUUGCAGAAAACAGAAAAUGUGAGAAGUUUGCCUUCAGGCAGAACUGAGGCACUAUUCCUCCCUCCAGCAGCAAUUCCUUCAGCACGCAUUAGAAUGCAGCCCUCGAGGCCUAUUCAUGGAUUUUAUUUAAAAAGGAGACGCUCACUUUAUUUGUCUUUGUUGUCCUCCUUGUUUCUCCUUCAGUUCCACAAGCAUUUUCCUUGGAGAUAUGAGGAGGAGUGUCUUAUUUUUCCAUUCAUGCACGUUAGGAGUUGCUCGUCCAAACAAAGUAAGCAGCUGUGCAGGUUUCUUUGGACUGGGAUCAGUGUAAUCCCACCAAAUCAGGCUUUGAUCCAACCGGAUCGAAUCGCAGAAGACAGAAGUCGUCCAAAACAAAAGUACUUAGCACGUAACUAAUCUCCGCCUGGAGGCAAACAAAACCAAGUCUCCGACACUAACAACACUUGACGCACAGACCGCGAACCGACGAGAUCAGGGGACACACCUGGUGUAAAUGCGCUGGUCCAGGUGACUGGACGCAGCAGGAGGCAAUCAGGGACACUCACAGGAGAAAACACACCAGGGCAGGAAGUGAAGUUUCACCCAGAGACACAAGAGGCAGGAAACUACAAAAUAAAACCCACACCGUGACAACGUUGCAUGGUGACAUGUGUUCAAUUUGUUGUUAAUAUCUCGGGUAAGUCAAUAAAACCUACGUCCUCCACAUCAGACUCGGCUUUCAUUCGUUUGGUGAGGUUAAAAAAAGGAAAAAUAGUAUUUUUUUCACGCGCCGACCUCAUUGAACUUGGAUCGGGCCGAGCUGCUCCUCUGGUACCUCUCACGUUGGCCACAUUUCUGACGAUCUUAUUAUUAUUUUUCCACCAGGAAGCCCGUCCGAAAACACAGUCGAGAAAAUGUAUUAGAAUAUUAUUUAUACAUCUAAAACUUUUUCAGUCCUGGUCCU
Molecule: long non-coding RNA, 3532 nt
Organism: Gasterosteus aculeatus aculeatus (three-spined stickleback)
Lineage: Eukaryota; Metazoa; Chordata; Actinopteri; Perciformes; Gasterosteidae
Source: Ensembl